RNAcentral lists this ribosomal RNA (497 nucleotides) under uncultured bacterium. Its description in RNAcentral is "partial 16S ribosomal RNA". It matches the Rfam family "Bacterial small subunit ribosomal RNA", at positions 28 to 507 of the family's 1533-position model. The record is from RNAcentral.
GACGAACGCUGGCGGCGUGCCUAAUACAUGCAAGUUGAGCGCUGAAGGUUGGUACUUGUACCAACUGGAUGAGCAGCGAACGGGUGAGUAACGCGUGGGGAAUCUGCCUUUGAGCGGGGGACAACAUUUGGAAACGAAUGCUAAUACCGCAUAAAAACUUUAAACACAAGUUUUAAGUUUGAAAGAUGCAAUUGCAUCACUCAAAGAUGAUCCCGCGUUGUAUUAGCUAGUUGGUGAGGUAAAGGCUCACCAAGGCGAUGAUACAUAGCCGACCUGAGAGGGUGAUCGGCCACAUUGGGACUGAGACACGGCCCAAACUCCUACGGGAGGCAGCAGUAGGGAAUCUUCGGCAAUGGACGAAAGUCUGACCGAGCAACGCCGCGUGAGUGAUGAAGGUUUUCGGAUCGUAAAACUCUGUUGGUAGAGAAGAACGUUGGUGAGAGUGGAAAGCUCAUCAAGUGACGGUAACUACCCAGAAAGGGACGGCUAACUACGUG